RNAcentral lists this ribosomal RNA (1372 nucleotides) under uncultured bacterium. RNAcentral describes it as "bacterial SSU rRNA". It matches the Rfam family "Bacterial small subunit ribosomal RNA", at positions 28 to 1381 of the family's 1533-position model. The record is from RNAcentral.
GAUGAACGCUGGCGGCGUGCCUAAUACAUGCAAGUCGAGCGAACGGACGAGAAGCUUGCUUCUCUGAUGUUAGCGGCGGACGGGUGAGUAACACGUGGAUAACCUACCUAUAAGACUGGGAUAACUUCGGGAAACCGGAGCUAAUACCGGAUAAUAUUUUGAACCGCAUGGUUCAAAAGUGAAAGACGGUCUUGCUGUCACUUAUAGAUGGAUCCGCGCUGCAUUAGCUAGUUGGUAAGGUAACGGCUUACCAAGGCAACGAUGCAUAGCCGACCUGAGAGGGUGAUCGGCCACACUGGAACUAAGACACGGUCCAGACUCCUACGGGAGGCAGCAGUAGGGAAUCUUCCGCAAUGGGCGAAAGCCUGACGGAGCAACGCCGCGUGAGUGAUGAAGGUCUUCGGAUUGUAAAACUCUGUUAUUAGGGAAGAACAUAUGUGUAAGUAACUGUGCACAUCUUGACGGUACCUAAUCAGAAAGCCACGGCUAACUACGUGCCAGCAGCCGCGGUAAUACGUAGGUGGCAAGCGUUAUCCGGAAUUAUUGGGCGUAAAGCGCGCGUAGGCGGUUUUUUAAGUCUGAUGUGAAAGCCCACGGCUCAACCGUGGAGGGUCAUUGGAAACUGGAAAACUUGAGUGCAGAAGAGGAAAGUGGAAUUCCAUGUGUAGCGGUGAAAUGCGCAGAGAUAUGGAGGAACACCAGUGGCGAAGGCGACUUUCUGGUCUGUAACUGACGCUGAUGUGCGAAAGCGUGGGGAUCAAACAGGAUUAGAUACCCUGGUAGUCCACGCCGUAAACGAUGAGUGCUAAGUGUUAGGGGGUUUCCGCCCCUUAGUGCUGCAGCUAACGCAUUAAGCACUCCGCCUGGGGAGUACGACCGCAAGGUUGAAACUCAAAGGAAUUGACGGGGACCCGCACAAGCGGUGGAGCAUGUGGUUUAAUUCGAAGCAACGCGAAGAACCUUACCAAAUCUUGACAUCCUUUGACAACUCUAGAGAUAGAGCCUUCCCCUUCGGGGGACAAAGUGACAGGUGGUGCAUGGUUGUCGUCAGCUCGUGUCGUGAGAUGUUGGGUUAAGUCCCGCAACGAGCGCAACCCUUAAGCUUAGUUGCCAUCAUUAAGUUGGGCACUCUAAGUUGACUGCCGGUGACAAACCGGAGGAAGGUGGGGAUGACGUCAAAUCAUCAUGCCCCUUAUGAUUUGGGCUACACACGUGCUACAAUGGACAAUACAAAGGGCAGCGAAACCGCGAGGUCAAGCAAAUCCCAUAAAGUUGUUCUCAGUUCGGAUUGUAGUCUGCAACUCGACUACAUGAAGCUGGAAUCGCUAGUAAUCGUAGAUCAGCAUGCUACGGUGAAUACGUUCCCGGGUCU